Molecule: ribosomal RNA, 204 nt
Filed under: Triticum aestivum (bread wheat)
Lineage: Eukaryota; Viridiplantae; Streptophyta; Magnoliopsida; Poales; Poaceae
Description: partial small subunit ribosomal RNA
Source: RNAcentral
AUGGCUGAGUACGACGGCAUUGUCAGCAGGAUGUUUGAUAGCGAGGAAGAGGGUUUUGAGUUCUAUAACAAGUAUGCUCUUGAGAAAGGCUUUAGUGUGAGGAAAGGAUAUGUUGAGUGGGAUGAAGCGAACGAGAAGAUAAUUCUGAGGAAACUUGUCUGUAGUCGUGAAGGUUGCCGUGAAGAGAAACACAUGAAGAGGAAG